UAGGGAAUAUUGGACAAUGGGCGCAAGCCUGAUCCAGCCAUCCCGCGUGAAGGAUUAAGGUCCUAUGGAUUGUAAACUUCUUUUCUCUGGGAAUAAAAACCGGUAUUUAUACUGGCUUGAAGGUACCAGAGGAAUAAGCACCGGCUAACUCCGUGCCAGCAGCCGCGGUAAUACGGAGGGUGCAAGCGUUAUCCGGAUUCACUGGGUUUAAAGGGUGCGUAGGUGGCUUUGUAAGUCAGUGGUGAAAGCCCGGAGCUUAACUCCGGAACUGCCAUUGAUACUGCUUAGCUUGAAUCAACUUGAGGUUGAUGGAAUAUUACAUGUAGCGGUGAAAUGCUUAGAUAUGUAAUAGAACACCGAUUGCGAAGGCAGUUCACUAAGGUUGUAUUGACACUGAGGCACGAAAGCGUGGGGAUCAAACA
RNAcentral lists this ribosomal RNA (422 nucleotides) under uncultured bacterium. RNAcentral's name for it is "bacterial SSU rRNA". It matches the Rfam family "Bacterial small subunit ribosomal RNA", at positions 355 to 774 of the family's 1533-position model. The record is from RNAcentral.